RNAcentral lists this ribosomal RNA (497 nucleotides) under uncultured bacterium. RNAcentral describes it as "partial 16S ribosomal RNA". It matches the Rfam family "Bacterial small subunit ribosomal RNA", at positions 28 to 507 of the family's 1533-position model. The record is from RNAcentral.
GAUGAACGCUGGCGGCGUGCCUAGUACAUGCAAGUCGAGCGAACGGACGAGAAGCUUGCUUCUCUGAUGUUAGCGGCGGACGGGUGAGUAACACGUGGAUAACCUACCUAUAAGACUGGGAUAACUUCGGGAAACCGGAGCUAAUACCGUAUAAUAUUUUGAACCGCAUGUUUCAAAAGUGAAAGACGGUCUUGCUGUCACUUCUAGAUGGAUCCGCGCUGCAUUAGCUAGUUGGUAAGGUAACGGCUUACCAAGGCAACGAUGCAUAGCCGACCUGAGAGGGUGAUCGGCCACACUGGAACUGAGACACGGUCCAGACUCCUACGGGAGGCAGCAGUAGGGAAUCUUCCGCAAUGGGCGAAAGCCUGACGGAGCAACGCCGCGUGAGUGAUGAAGGUCUUCGGAUCGUAAAAAUCUGUUAUUAGGGAAGAACAUAUGUGUAAGUAACUGUGCACAUCUUGACGGUACCUAAUCAGAAAGCCACGGCUAACUACGUG